RNAcentral lists this ribosomal RNA (481 nucleotides) under uncultured bacterium. Its description in RNAcentral is "partial 16S ribosomal RNA". It matches the Rfam family "Bacterial small subunit ribosomal RNA", at positions 28 to 507 of the family's 1533-position model. The record is from RNAcentral.
GAUGAACGCUGGCGGCGUGCUUAACACAUGCAAGUCGAACGAAGCACUUUAUUUGAUUUCCUUCGGGACUGAUUAUUUUGUGACUGAGUGGCGGACGGGUGAGUAACGCGUGGGUAACCUGCCUUGUACAGGGGGAUAACAGUUGGAAACGGCUGCUAAUACCGCAUAAGCGCACAGCAUCGCAUGAUGCAGUGUGAAAAACUCCGGUGGUAUAAGAUGGACCCGCGUUGGAUUAGCUAGUUGGUGAGGUAACGGCCCACCAAGGCGACGAUCCAUAGCCGACCUGGGAGGGUGACCGGCCACGUUGGGACUGAGACACGGCCCAAACUCCUACGGAAGGCAGCAGUGGGGAAUAUUGCACAAUGGGCGAAAGCCUGAUGCAGCGACGCCGCGUGAGCGAAGAAGUAUUUCGGUAUGUAAAGCUCUAUCAGCAGGGAAGAUAAUGACGGUACCUGACUAAGAGGCACCGGCUAAAUACGUG